This is a non-coding RNA of Caenorhabditis elegans, 21 nucleotides long. NCBI's taxonomy places the organism in Eukaryota, Metazoa, Nematoda, Chromadorea, Rhabditida, Rhabditidae. The record is from Ensembl.
UGUAUGAAAACGUGCCGUCUU